Molecule: long non-coding RNA, 685 nt
Filed under: Malus domestica (apple)
Lineage: Eukaryota; Viridiplantae; Streptophyta; Magnoliopsida; Rosales; Rosaceae
Description: long non-coding RNA (MDOM_LNC014783)
Source: RNAcentral
AAUACACAAAUGUUCAUAGCAUAUAUGACAUAGGUAAUGCGGUUGAAAUUAGUUAAGUACUUAAUACAUAACAUGAACAACUCCUACAUUUAAUUAUAGAUAUGACAGAACCGUCGGAGAUUCCUCGUAUGCCACAGAGAGUUCAGCUACCUAAGACCUGGUGAGGCGAAAAACAGAAGGGUGAGUGGACAAAAACAAAGGAUUAUAAAACACAUUUAUUUUCUUAACAUACUAACCCCUCGUUGUAAAACAUGUAUAGUUUCCAGAAAAUCAUACUUUAUAUGCAAAUCAACAAUAAUUCCAUAAAUAUGCCAAUCACAAUAUCACAACAAUAGCAUAAUAAAUCAGAUGCUCCUCGAUCUAUGCUAACACAAAAGUCGGAGUCGUUUAAUGUAACAUGUACGAUUGAACUGAUGCUCAUCAAUCUAUGCUAGCACACAAGUCGGAGUUGCCUACUACAACCUGUAUGACAUGACUGAGUGUCAUCAUAAUAUACGCUAAUACUACAAUCACGUGAAGACUAGUGCUAUUUGCGAUCACAUACGAGUCGGAGUUGCCUAUUGCAACUUGUACGACAUGAAUGGCACCUACUUGGAUCCAAGGCGAGUGUGUGAUGCGAAAUAUAUAAGCACACAAAUUAAACCCUCUUUUUAUCAAUUGUAGUAAAGUAUGUAAGUAGGGAUCG